UUCCCCGUUACGAUAUGGGGGUUCGCCCGAUACUUGUCGAGGUUUUUUAAACCAGAUAAGCAUACAUUUUGAACUUCAACCCCGGGCUUAUCCUACUGACAGGGCUAAAGUAGGGUUCAUUAUAACACUGCUAAUAGACAAAGCACUUAGAUGGGCCAAUCCCCUUUGGGAGAAUGAUAACCCUUUAGUCUACAACUAUACUGCGUUUGUCACAGCUUUCAAAAGGACUUUUGACCCCCCAGGAAGGAAGGUUAAUGCAGCCAGAUCUCUGUUACGCCUUAAACAACAAAAUAGAACUCUGGUAGAAUAUGCAUUAG
This is a non-coding RNA of Pelobates cultripes (western spadefoot toad), 317 nucleotides long. Lineage: Eukaryota; Metazoa; Chordata; Amphibia; Anura; Pelobatidae. The record is from the annotation of a GenBank genome assembly.